UACAGAGGUCCCAAGCGUUGUUCGGAUUCACUGGGCGUAAAGGGUGCGUAGGUGGUGAGGUAAGUCUGAUGUGAAAUCUCCGAGCUUAACUCGGAAAUGGCAUUGGAAACUACCUUGCUAGAGGGUUGGAGGGGGGACUGGAAUACUUGGUGUAGCAGUGAAAUGCGUAGAUAUCAAGUGGAACACCAGUGGCGAAGGCGAGUCCCUGGACAACUCCUGACACUGAGGCACGAAAGCUAGGGGAGCAAACAGG
Molecule: ribosomal RNA, 253 nt
Filed under: uncultured bacterium
Lineage: Bacteria
Description: partial 16S ribosomal RNA
Rfam family: Bacterial small subunit ribosomal RNA
Source: RNAcentral